Salvia hispanica is the source of this 83-nucleotide small nucleolar RNA. RefSeq annotates it as small nucleolar RNA snoR128. The record is from RefSeq and is a predicted model, not a curated record. NCBI's taxonomy places the organism in Eukaryota, Viridiplantae, Streptophyta, Magnoliopsida, Lamiales, Lamiaceae.
UUGCUAUGAUGAGUACUUUCAAUUUUUAGAAUGCUUGAUGAAACAUUGGCAAUCAUGUCAGUGCUGAGCGGUUACCUGAGCAG